Molecule: long non-coding RNA, 581 nt
Filed under: Drosophila guanche
Lineage: Eukaryota; Metazoa; Arthropoda; Insecta; Diptera; Drosophilidae
Source: RNAcentral
GUUCCCCUUGCUGCAUUAUAAUAUUUAUCCGUUGGCGUUUUUGCCCAGAUAUACGAUCUGACGUGUUCCGCCUUUUCUAAGCUUCGCCCUGUGUGACGUCGCUUUGUGGUUUCCCCCAAUUGGUCUGUUUCCUCAACCUAGACAUCGAUGGGUCAACCUCCAUAGGUUGCACUUGGUUUUGUUGUGGGGCCUCUUUAUUGUUUGGCUUUGGCCAAGGAUCACCCAGUUGCUGGCUAUUUUGAUUACUUUUUCCCACAAAAUGUGGGUUAUUUUCCUUACCUCUACCUUGCCUGGCCUGGGCCCGAUGACCCUGUCUAUUGCCGUCGCCUGAAUGGUUUUUUUCCUCGAUCGCCUUUACAUACGUAGCGGCAAAUGCGCUUGUCUCUAUGACAAGCUCUCUAUGACAGCUCGGCCUCUCGAGCUAGAGCUAAGGCGGAUGGCAAAUACUUGGGCUGUGCCGGGCCUCUUGAGGCCCGCUAUGAAUGCGUGUAAAGCAUCAUUUCUAAUUUCCUCGUUGAGAAUGGUAGCUGCCUCCUCAUUAUGAGUCAUGACCACUUUGUUAGUGACGAGCGUGAGCUUUC